UCCCACUGCCACUGUCUGAGACAUCAGAGGCACUCGGUAGAAGUUGGUGAAGAGAAAGAAAAGGCAGAGGAGAGACAGGAAAGCAGGACCAACACCGCAGACACAGAUUCUGAGGUGGCUGGAGGAGAGGCAGGGCAGAGAAACUUCCUGGAUGCUGGAAAGGGGUUCACUGUGAUACCUGCUGCUGGAUUUCAAAUGUCAAAGGUGACGCUUUGCUGACCUUGACCUCUGACUGCCCUUUAGCUUUCCCAACCUCAACACAGGGCACUUAGAAACUGAGAUGUCAAGAAAUUAUGCUUCUUUGAACCAUGGGAAUGUUAUUUACAUGGACGUUCAUUACUGCAUUUUUUACAUGGGAAUGUAAAUAAUUGAAGAGAUUGUUAAAGGCUAAAUCAUGCACAUUCAAUAACUUUGUAAAGUAUUAAUGAUAACUGAAACACAAAUUUUGAUGUUCCCCAAAAAUGCUAACAUAUAAAACAAUACUGGCCAAUUAAAGAUAGAAAACAAUCCUAAUGAAGCUCCCCAACAGACACAUUAAAACUUCUCUGUACAUAAAACAUUUGGGAUUUCAAAGGAAAACCCAGAUUCAUUCCAUUCUUAAUACGGCGUUUUUUUUUUAAAAAAAAAAUCUUAGGUAUUACAAUAUUUCAUUUAAAAUUUACAAAAUUCCAUUACAUUCAUUAUUUCAUUUGAUCCUCAAAACAAUCUCCUGAGUUAGGCAGAACAGGUAUUACUAACAACUAACUCCAUUUUACAGGUAAGGGAACUGAAGUUCAGAAAGUACUUGGGCUUAAUAAAAGCUUUAAUAGGGCCACAUAUCGAAACCAAAUCCUCUGCUCAAAAGAACUAGAAUAAGCUAUCUUUUACAUAUUAUUCAUACUUAUAUCCUGUCAAUAUCCAAAAAUGUUUUGAAGUAGCCUGCAAUAAUAGACACCUAUCCAAUAAAAAUAUUAAAAUGAAAAACAGGGGGAAAAAAACCAGCAGGUGACAUGGGAGACAGACAAAGGUAGAUAGCAAAGACUGAGACUUAUAAUCUAAGAAAACUUCAUCUCUGACCUUCCAGUUCCAGGGAGAUAAUACUAAAGGAAACAAGAUGGUUUAUAGACUCAUCAACUGACAAAAGAGAGGUUGCAUCAGUUCUUAACUCUGAAACACUCCUAGCAGCCACAGCAAAUCUCUAGGACAACAUACCAAUGGCAUCAAAGCAAGAGUAUACUUCAGGGAUAGAGUGAAUUAAGUUCCCUGUUUGGGACCCAGGCCAGGGCUAGAGAAAAGAACUCUGAAAUGUAGAGCUCAAGAAUACAUCCUCUGUCGGCCAGGCGCAGUGGCUCACACCUGUAAUCCCCAGCACUCUGGAAGGCCGAGGCGGGCAGAUCACGAAGUCAGAAGUUGGAGACCAUCCUGCCUAGCACAGUGAAAUCCUGUUUCUACUAAAAAUACAAAAAAUUAGCCGGGCAUGGUGGCAGGCUGCGGUAGGAGAAUGGAGUGAACCCAGGUGGCGGAGCUUACAGUGAGCCGAGAUCCUGCCACUGCACUCCAGCCUGGGCAACAGAGCAAAACUCUGUCUCCAAAAAAAAAAAAAA
Long non-coding RNA from Macaca fascicularis (crab-eating macaque), 1583 nucleotides. The record is from Ensembl. NCBI's taxonomy places the organism in Eukaryota, Metazoa, Chordata, Mammalia, Primates, Cercopithecidae.